CAUAGAUUGGGGUCAGGUUUGUCCACUCCGUCAAUGCUCCUAAGCCAGUAUGUCUCAGCAAGUGAAGCCGAGCCCUCGGGAAUAUCGUCCAUGACACUCUCGUGCCCUUUCGGGAAGUAUAUCCCUGUCCUCGGAUGAGAUUUUUCUUGCUGCUGCUCAAUUCCAGUGAAUCUACUCAUAGUUCUACGGGCCUGCUUCGGCUGCUUCAAUGAGCUGCAUCAAGUUGCCAAGUUGCCCUUCAAUUCAUUUAUCAAUGAGGCAUGUACAUCUCUGUAUAUCACCAUCAGCCGAUACUCUUAUCCUAAGGUUCUUUGAAUCAGAAGCAUUUCUGCUGGUUGUGCAAAGAAGUUGAUAUCGACAUGUAACCAUGGGGUUGUCAUGAAGUGUUUCCCCGAGAAAUUUGGGGCACGUUUAGAAAGCAAUUUGCACCUUGAAGUCAUAACUGUCUGCAAGUUCUGCAAACUUUCUAAUGAUAUGUAGAGAAACAGCAAUAACACAAGAUUCUAUUGCAAA
Punica granatum (pomegranate) is the source of this 513-nucleotide non-coding RNA. The record is from RefSeq and is a predicted model, not a curated record. Lineage: Eukaryota; Viridiplantae; Streptophyta; Magnoliopsida; Myrtales; Lythraceae.